Molecule: unclassified non-coding RNA, 200 nt
Filed under: Cistella sp.
Lineage: Eukaryota; Fungi; Ascomycota; Leotiomycetes; Helotiales
Description: partial internal transcribed spacer 2
Source: RNAcentral
UUAAGUUCAGCGGGUAUCCCUACCUGAUCCGAGGUCAACCAUAGAAAAUUGGGGGUUCUGGCGGAUGGACCUCCGGACCCUAUAGCGAGAAAAGUUACUACGCUUAGAGCCGGAAGGCACUGCCACUGAUUUUAAGAACUGCCAGAAGGCAUGCUCCAACACCAAGCUAGGCUUGAGGGUUAUAAUGACGCUCGAACAGG